UCUAGAGAAGGGCCCUUGCAUGACUUUAGAUCUUUUGUUUCAAAAAUACUUGUACAUACUCCAGUUUUAUGUUUGCAGGUCUGUCUGUGAGAUAUGCUGCAGGUGCUUGCCAGAAGUGGGAUUGCUGUAUGAAGGAGAAUAUCUUGCUAGAGAAAACCAUGCCAAGCCUGAAAACAUUGGGGACCCGACGCCAAGUUCAACAAGCCCAGGGAACUUUCUGGCAAGAAAUGAUUCCAUCUGUAACAAGGCCAGUCUCGUGGGCUGGAGCUCACAAUUGGCAGGAAGGUAAGUAUCCUUUGCUCUGUUUGUCCUCCUCUCUAAUUUACUCCCACUUACUUAAGCUUUUAAACCAUU
RNAcentral lists this long non-coding RNA (354 nucleotides) under Mustela putorius furo (domestic ferret). Its description in RNAcentral is "lncRNA (ENSMPUG00000025995.1)". Lineage: Eukaryota; Metazoa; Chordata; Mammalia; Carnivora; Mustelidae. The record is from RNAcentral.